RNAcentral lists this ribosomal RNA (1780 nucleotides) under Gambierdiscus australes. RNAcentral's name for it is "SSU rRNA". It matches the Rfam family "Eukaryotic small subunit ribosomal RNA". Lineage: Eukaryota; Dinophyceae; Gonyaulacales; Pyrocystaceae. The record is from RNAcentral.
CAACCUGGUGAUCCUGCCAGUAGUCAUAUGCUUGUCUCAAAGAUUAAGCCAUGCAUGUCUCAGUUUAAGCAGCUCCAYAGCAACACUGUGCAUGGCUCAUUAAAACAGCCACAACCUGGGUCGUGGUCCUGCUACAUGGAUAUCUUCGGCAAUUCUGCAGCUAAUACAUGCACCAGCAUUCACCUGUGGUGAGUUGUGGUUGUUGCAUUCAGAAUUAAUGCAAGCUGUGCUUGAUGACCAGAUGAAUCAUUACAACUGCAUGGAUUGUAGUUUGUACACUGUUGAUGCUCUAUCAAGGUUUCUGACCUAUCAGCUUCCGAUGGCAGGGUAAAGGCCUACCGUGGCAGUGACAGGUGACGGAGGAUUAGGGUUUGACUCCGGAGAGGGAGCCUGAGAAAUGGCUCCCACAUCUAAGGAAGGCAGCAGGCGCGUGAAUUGCCCAAUCCUGAGAGAGGGAGGUAGUGACAAAAAAUAGCGAUACAAGGCAUCCAUGUUUUGUAAUUGGAAUGAGGGAUCAGUAAAUGUCGUUUUGAGUACCAAUUGGAGGGCAAGUCUGGUGCCAGCAGCCGCGGUAAUUCCAGCUUCAAUAGCGUAUGUUAGAGUUGUUGCAGUUAAAAGGCUCGUAGUUGGAUUUCUGCUGGAGAUUGCUGGUCCGCCCUUCGGGUGAGUAUCUGGUGUGUCCUUGGCAUAUUCUUUGGAGGUGCAACUGCACUUGACUGUGUGGUGCACUUUUGAAGACGUUUACUUUGAGGAAAUGAGAGUGUUUAAAGCAAGUUUUUGCCUUGAAUACAAAAGCAUGGAAUAGUCGCAGAAUCUUGGCCUCAUUUUGUUGGUUUCUGGUGCAGAGGUAGUGGACAACAGGGAUAGUUGGGGGCAUCAGUAUUUGACUGUCAGAGGUGAAAUUCUUGAAUUUGUCAUGGAUUGACUAGUGCGAUGGCAUUUGCCAAGGAUGUUUUCAUUUAUCAAGAACGAAAGUUAGGGGAUUGAAGACGAUUAGAUACCGUCAUAGUCUUAACCAUAAACCAUGCCAACUAGAGAUGGGAGGUCGUUACCUGAAGGACUCCUUCAGCACCUUUUGAGAAAUUGAAAGUUUUUGGGUUCUGGGGGGAGUAUGGUCGCAAGGCUGAAACUUAAAGGAAUUGACGGAAGGGCACCACCAGGAGUGGAGCCUGCGGCUUAAUUUGACUCAACACGGGGAAACUUACCAGGGCCUGACACAAGUUGGAUUGACAGAUUGACAGCUCUUCCUUGAUUCUGUGGGUGGUGGUGCAUGGCCGUUCUUAGUUGGUGGAGUGAUUUGUCUGGUUAAUUCCGAUAACGAACGAGACCUUAACCUGCUAAAGUAGUUACAUGAAAUUGCGAUUCUGUGGCCAAUUUCUUARAGGGACUCUGUGUGUCUAGCAUAAGGAAGUGUGAGGCAAUAACAGGUCUGUGAUGCCCUUARAUGUUCUGGGCUGCACGCGCGCUACACUGAUGUACUCACUGAGUGCCCCAUCUUGCCUGUAGAGGUUGGGCAGUCUUGCAAACCUACGUCGUGAUGGGGAUGGAUCAUUGCAACUAUUGCUCCUGAACGAGGAAUUCCUAGUAAAUGUAUGUCAUCAACUUGCAUUGAUUGUGUCCCUGCCUUUUGUACACACCGCCCGUCGCUCCUACCGAUUGAGUGGUCCGGUGAACAGUUUGGGCCUGCUGUGCCCUUCAGCUCCUGAGAAGUGCAGUGAGAAGUUCAGUGAACCUUAUCACUUAGAGGAAGGAGAAGUCGUAACAAGGUUUUCNGUANGUG